Molecule: ribosomal RNA, 253 nt
Filed under: uncultured bacterium
Lineage: Bacteria
Description: partial 16S ribosomal RNA
Rfam family: Bacterial small subunit ribosomal RNA
Source: RNAcentral
UACGGAGGGUGCGAGCGUUGUUCGGAAUCACUGGGCGUAAAGCGCGUGUAGGCGGCCCAUUAAGUCUGAUGUGAAAGCCCGGGGCUCACCCCCGGAAGUGCAUUGGAUACUGUCAGGCUCGAGUCCGGAAGAGGCAAGUGGAAUUCCCGGUGUAGCGGUGAAAUGCGCAGAUAUCGGGAGGAACACCAAUGGCGAAGGCAGCUUGCUGGGACGGUACUGACGCUGAGGCGCGAAAGCGUGGGGAGCAAACAGG